CCCCUCUCAGGGUCACACCUGGAGAGUUUCCAAUACUCUACCAAUCUCGACUACAGGAGGGAGUCAAGCAGAGGCCACCCAUUCCACUCCUAGCUUGGGCAGUGGCUAGCGAGGGGAAGGCAAUCUGCUACAAAU
Molecule: small nucleolar RNA, 135 nt
Filed under: Ornithorhynchus anatinus (platypus)
Lineage: Eukaryota; Metazoa; Chordata; Mammalia; Monotremata; Ornithorhynchidae
Source: RNAcentral